GCUGUGAUGGCCGAGAGGUUAAGGCGUUGGACUUGAAAUCCAAUACCCCUGCAUAGGUUCAAAUCCUGUUCACAGCG
Molecule: non-coding RNA, 77 nt
Organism: Hyla sarda
Lineage: Eukaryota; Metazoa; Chordata; Amphibia; Anura; Hylidae
Source: the annotation of a RefSeq genome assembly